AUUGAACGCUGGCGGCAGGCCUAACACAUGCAAGUCGAGCGGAUGAAGGGAGCUUGCUCCUGGAUUCAGCGGCGGACGGGUGAGUAAUGCCUAGGAAUCUGCCUGGUAGUGGGGGAUAACGUCCGGAAACGGGCGCUAAUACCGCAUACGUCCUGAGGGAGAAAGUGGGGGAUCUUCGGACCUCACGCUAUCAGAUGAGCCUAGGUCGGAUUAGCUAGUUGGUGGGGUAAAGGCCUACCAAGGCGACGAUCCGUAACUGGUCUGAGAGGAUGAUCAGUCACACGGGAACAGAGACACGGUCCAGACUCCUACGGGAGGCAGCAGUGGGGAAUAUUGGACAGUGGGCGGAAGCCUGAUCCAGCCAUGCCGAUGGUGUGAAGAAGGUCUUCGGAUUGUAAAGCACUUUAAGUUGGGGGGAAGGUCAGUAAGUUGAUAGCUGGCUGUUUUGUCGUUACCAACAGAAUAAGCACCGGCAAACUUCGUG
This 484-nucleotide ribosomal RNA is filed under the name uncultured bacterium. RNAcentral describes it as "partial 16S ribosomal RNA". It matches the Rfam family "Bacterial small subunit ribosomal RNA", at positions 30 to 507 of the family's 1533-position model. The record is from RNAcentral.